GUUUCAGUGUCUCUCUUUCAGAAAAGAGGAAAAUAAUUUUCAACUUCUAAGAGGAUCAAACAGCAGCGUAUGGAGAAGUCAACAUAGGAGCCAGUGCUUCAGCUGGAGUUCUGGUGCAAGAAAAGGCCUCAGCAGGAACACCACAUACUGGCCACUGUAUCUGCACACAGGUCCCACCACUGGAAGAUGCCUGCAGUCAAGUGAUUCCAAAUCUUUUUUUGGAAGUUGUGUUUCCAGGUCACAUUUGUACAAGCUAGCACAACCACAAUGAGCAGUUCCCUGAACAAUAGAAGAACAUUUCUGAGUGGCAGCUGAACAGGUGGAGUUGACCACAUCAGGCAUGACAAGGGGCAUAUCCCAUAGACGGUCCUUUCAGCUCCUCACAGUCAGGAAUGUGGCUCUUCCUGGAAACCACCUGCUCAGGGAGACAGCUGGGCUUUUCCUGAGGGCUGGAUCUACGCUGCAGACCCUUCCGGGUGGGUUAAGGUGUCCUCCUCACAGCCUCAGCACUCGAGCAGAGCAGCAAAUGUGGGAGGCACUUUGGUUUACGCAGUUACAACUUGUACCAGCCCUCAGGCAUGAGAUCCUGGUACAGGUACAACCUGACAGCCACAUUCUCCCCACCUGCCCGACACGAGUUUCUUAUGCAGCCUCCUCUGCCCUCUGCACUCAUUGUGCCGUGAGUCCUGCUGCUCUAUAUCCUGCGGAGGCUGCCAGCCAAGCUUUGUCACCCUGCCUCUCCAGUGGUCUGAAAUGACCUUCAAGAGAUUGGCUGUAAGGUGAAAGUACACUAGCAGGUUGAAGCUGGUCACUCAACAUCCAAGGGAUUAGAGCAAAUGAGCAAACAAAGCUGGUUUGAUUUGUCUGCAAGACAUCCUUGUCUAAAAAUCAGAGCUGCAAGCCCCAAGCAGAAGCUAAGAAGAGCCAAGGGCCAAAGUAUCUCAAAUUCAGAGGACUAGAGGACUCUCAACUAGGCUGCCUGGGACAAGGGUAAGAGCUGGUGAGAAGUGGGAGAAUAUUAUUGCAGACCAUGUUUAACAGGAUGCUGAAGUCUGGAUGCCAGUCAGUGCCCUAUCUUUUCUCCUACAAUCAGUCCCACAGAAAUUCUGUAUGAUGGCAUCAUCCUUGGUUCAAAGAGGGAGAGAAAAAGUACAAACCAUUUCAGUAAUGGACAAGUUCGAGAAGAGAUCCUUGAAAAUCCUCCCCCAGCUGAAUGUCCUAGUUAUGUUCUAGGGGUUCCUGAGAGCCCUAAUACAGAUUUUAUCUGCUCUGUGACUGCUGCAUUGUAUCAUGUUACUUACCCUCUGAGUACCUCAAGAACAGACUGGCUGGGGGGAUGCACAACUAUUCAUUGGCACCCCAAGAUCAUCAGGUGGUUGCUGAAUUCCUUCAGAGGAGGGUUGAGUGAUCUGGUAAGAGGAACAUGUGGAAGAUCUCAAGAGACCUCAACUCCCUGCUUUUUUGUUUAGCAGCACCACAUGCCUCCUUCAAUGCCAGGUCUGUAAAGGUGGUGCCCAAGCUCAGGGCACAGUGAGGAAUAAUAGCUAAAGUUCUCCCUCUUCAGUCCUUGAACAUGCAAAGGGUGGCUCCACAGUUCCUCCCAGGGCCAUCCAGCUCAAUGAUGUGUGACUAACUCUUUCAUUGACCAAAGACCAACCACUUCCCUCAUGUGAUGUUACAUAACUGUUCAUCUAUUCCGUUAAUGAAUGGAGCUUGAGAAAAUUUCCAUUGCCUAAGGCCCUUAGGGGAAAAUGUGCGAGCACUGUCUCCACCUUUUGUGUGCUGCCCUGGGAUUUUCCUAUGGAUUAACUGAGUACAGUGCUAUUAUUUUUUGGUUGCUGUCAUUGGUGACUGAAAUGGUAAGCUAACUGUUGGGUGCAAAGGGGGUGGGAAAAAAAAAAAAGGAGUCUCUGCCUGAGCCAGAGGAAACAGGAGUCUCCCCCUGCCAGGAGGAGCAACAGAGAAGUCAUUGCAUCAUCAGUGUGGUCAGGAACUGCACCUAUUCCCAGGCAAAACGUGCUCUUUUUAUUCAGCCCUCAGAAGAGUCAAAACACCUCCCAGCUUCUCCUCACUCCCUGCAGAGAUCCAGCAGUGCCAACCUGCUGGCAUCCUGGGGGCCAGACCCAGUCCUGGGGCUGUCAAACAGUUCUCCCUGGACUGCCGUGGUCAGGAUGGAGCAGUCUGAUGCUGGUCAGCAGCAGAGAGGGGUGAUAUGUUCCUCUUGGGUAUAUUGGCAUGUCAGAGGUACCCACCCCAGUAUUUACAGCAGGUAGGAACUGCAAGGAAGAUGGGAAUACACCAGUAUUUCCAAAAGCCCCUACCAAUGCUUCAGAUUUUUCCAUUUUUACCACUUCACUGUGGUGCUGCCUAAGAUAGAAAUUAUUUCUAUCAUAAAAGUCCUUCUUCCAGUGGAAGACUGGCUAGGGGAGAGCUUAACCUUUCCCCAAACAAUGUCAUGCAAAGGUGCUUGAAAGUGCUAGAGACACAUGAUUUUCAGAAAUAGGAUUCAUGUUGUACUCUGAGGAUGUACUUUGGAAUGAAAGAAUAUUUUGGAUGUACAGUGUGGCCUCCCCAUGGUGUGGGCUACAAAUGUCACAGUUUAGGAAUGUUGCUGAAGCUAAGAAGGUGGCUAGAUUGAGCAGGACCAUGAUGGAUGGAAGUGGCAGCACUGAAAUAAUGGAGGAUGUUCCUUUUUCAGUUUAUGGGGAGAAAAUGCAAAUGUUGCUCAGGCUCCUGUAAUGCCUGGUCCAUGCACAAUGAUGAGUAAAUAUUUAACUGCAGAAAGAACAUUGGCUUCCAGAGACUGAAGCAGCCAAGUUAAUCAGUUCCAGACUAUAUUCAAGUCAUGGGUGUCAAGAGGACAGUACAGGUUCAAAAGCCUUGAGGAUGUUCAAAGUCUCCUAUUACACCUCAGCAGUUGGCAUGUCUUCCCUAGGAUGCUAAAAAAAAGAGGAUAUUUUCACCUGCUGAGAAUGCAGGAUGAUGAACUCACUCAAAGGCAUGCUUCAUAGGAUGGGGGAAGGUUGAAGAUGUGACAAAGAGAAGUUUGAAGAUCCUCUUGUUGCAUCCAGAUGGUGCUUCAUAAACUUGGGAGAGGAGGCUGCUGCAGCAGUUGGACUUGGAAAGCCCUCAGGCUGGUCUGGAGACAUUCCCUGCCCUGGCAGCCCAUGGGAUGUUCACAUCAGAAAUGACAGAAGUUGCCAUUGGUAGGAGUUUGGAAAGCACUUUGGAAAGUGCUCAGUUUCUGCCAGACCCUCCUCUUAUACAACAUAUUUCCAGUCAUUCUUUUCUCCAAGUAAAGUUUGUUCUCAUCUGUCUCUCCCUUACAAAGCCAGUCUGUUUCCUUCAGAGAUUAUGCGGAGAAGGUUAGUACUCAUGCCUCUAAUAAAACAAGUUUCAACAGAUAUGAUAUAGCUCA
Molecule: long non-coding RNA, 3418 nt
Organism: Chloebia gouldiae (Gouldian finch)
Lineage: Eukaryota; Metazoa; Chordata; Aves; Passeriformes; Passeridae
Source: Ensembl